UACGGGGGGGGCAAGCGUUGUUCGGAAUUACUGGGCGUAAAGGGCUCGUAGGCGGCCAACUAAGUCGGAUGUGAAAUCCCCAGGCUCAACCUGGGAACUGCAUCCGAUACUGGAUGGCUUGAAUUCGGGAGAGGGAUGCAGAAUUCCAGGUGUAGCGGUGAAAUUCGUAGAUAUUCGCAAGAACACCAGUGGCGAAGGCGGCUCACUGGCCCGAUACUGACGCUGAGGCACGAAAGCGUGGGGAGCAAACAGG
Molecule: ribosomal RNA, 253 nt
Filed under: uncultured bacterium
Lineage: Bacteria
Description: partial 16S ribosomal RNA
Rfam family: Bacterial small subunit ribosomal RNA
Source: RNAcentral